AUCUUGGUAGCUCAAUCGGUAGAGCAUGAGACUCUUAAUCUCAUGGGUCAUGGGUUCAAAUCCCACGUUGGGCA
Molecule: non-coding RNA, 74 nt
Organism: Podarcis lilfordi (Lilford's wall lizard)
Lineage: Eukaryota; Metazoa; Chordata; Lepidosauria; Squamata; Lacertidae
Source: the annotation of a GenBank genome assembly